AUGGAGGGAUAUAGACAUUGCACAUUGCAGGUAGCGUCUCUAGCGCUAGGUUCCUUAUUUCCUCAAACUGGGGCAGUUGUUGAGGCUGGACAGAGCCCUGGGCCUGUGGGUUUUGCUAAGAUGGCUGGAAGGAGCCCUGGCCUGAUGGAUAUUGUUGUUGAGGCUGUUGGAAGCAGACCUGGCUCAACGGUUGUUGUUGUUGUUGUUGUUGAUCUGUUGUUGUUGUUGUUGUUGUUGUUGUUGUUGUUGUUGUUGUUGUUGUUGUUGUUGUUGUUGUUGUUGUUGUUGUUGUUGUUGAUGCAGAAUAAUAGCAUGAACAACAUUGUGGAUGGCUUGGCACCGCGACUGCUCGGGGAUCUGCCACAGCUGCUGACAACACAAUUGUUGCACCAGCUGGUAAGUACUUUGUUGCAAAACUUGUGA
RNAcentral lists this ribosomal RNA (423 nucleotides) under Triticum aestivum (bread wheat). RNAcentral's name for it is "partial small subunit ribosomal RNA". Lineage: Eukaryota; Viridiplantae; Streptophyta; Magnoliopsida; Poales; Poaceae. The record is from RNAcentral.